This 400-nucleotide ribosomal RNA is filed under the name uncultured bacterium. Its description in RNAcentral is "bacterial SSU rRNA". It matches the Rfam family "Bacterial small subunit ribosomal RNA", at positions 356 to 773 of the family's 1533-position model. The record is from RNAcentral.
GGGGGAUAUUGCACAAUGGAGGAAACUCUGAUGCAGCAACGCCGCGUGAGGGAAGACGGUUUUCGGAUUGUAAACCUCUGUCCUCGGUGACGAUAAUGACGGUAGCCGAGGAGGAAGCUCCGGCUAACUACGUGCCAGCAGCCGCGGUAAUACGUAGGGAGCAAGCGUUGUCCGGAUUUACUGGGUGUAAAGGGUGCGUGGGCGGCUCUGCAAGUCAGGCGUGAAAACUAUGGGCUUAACCCAUAGACUGCGUUUGAAACUGUGGGGCUUGAGUGAAGUAGAGGUAGGCGGAAUUCCCGGUGUAGCGGUGAAAUGCGUAGAGAUCGGGAGGAACACCAGUGGCGAAGGCGGCCUACUGGGCUUUAACUGACGCUGAAGCACGAAAGCAUGGGUAGCAAAC